UAAUAUUGUGCUUAAAUGGGCUUCGUGUGUGGAUUUUGGUGGGUCCAAUGGUUAGUUGGAUUGAAGACAAGGGAUUGGGUGUUGUGUAUAGUCAUAUUGGGCAAAAGUGCACUAUUUGUGUGGAUGGGAAACUUGGCAUUUGGGUUUAGAAACUUCUGAACGAGAAAAGCAUUUGGGCAAUGGGAUAUAGUUUGAUGAUUAAUUAAGUUUGUAAAAGCAUGUGGGUCGAAGUGGUAUACAGUGGUAUGUUUAAUUAAGUUUGUAGAAACACGUA
RNAcentral lists this long non-coding RNA (274 nucleotides) under Phaseolus vulgaris (common bean). RNAcentral's name for it is "long non-coding RNA (PVUL_LNC001259)". The record is from RNAcentral. Lineage: Eukaryota; Viridiplantae; Streptophyta; Magnoliopsida; Fabales; Fabaceae.